This 409-nucleotide ribosomal RNA is filed under the name uncultured bacterium. RNAcentral describes it as "bacterial SSU rRNA". It matches the Rfam family "Bacterial small subunit ribosomal RNA", at positions 32 to 424 of the family's 1533-position model. The record is from RNAcentral.
AAUCAACGCUGGCGGCGUGCCUAACACAUGCAAGUCGAACGCGAAAGUGGAGCAAGUCCAUGAGUAGAGUGGCGAACGGGUGAGUAACACGUGGGUGACCUACCUUCGAGUGGGGAUAACGUCCCGAAGGGACGCUAAUACCGCAUAACAUCCUGCCUUUGAAGAGGUGGAGAUCAAAGCCGGGGAUCGCAAGACCUGGCGUUUGGGAGAGGGGCCCGCGUCUGGAUUAGCUAGUUGGUGAGGUAACGGCCCACCAAGGCAACGAUCAGUAUCCGGCCUGAGAGGGCGGACGGACACACUGGGACUGAGACACGGCCCAGACUCCUACGGGAGGCAGCAGUGGGAAUUGUUCACAAUGGGCGCAAGCCUGAUGACGCAACGCCGCGUGGAGGAUGAAGGUCUUCGGAUU